Molecule: long non-coding RNA, 1081 nt
Organism: Panicum virgatum (switchgrass)
Lineage: Eukaryota; Viridiplantae; Streptophyta; Magnoliopsida; Poales; Poaceae
Exons: 3
Source: RefSeq, a predicted model, not a curated record
CCACCUCGCGCGGAGGUUUUCUUUCCCACUCGUCAGCUCCUCUCCCCGUCACCCCCAACCCCCAAAAAAAAGUAGAUCGAUUCUGCCAUCGUCGUUACGCGAGUCGCGCCGCCGAUCCCGUCAUCGUUGCCCCCAGAUCAGUACCUGCUGCCGCCAUUGCCGUCGACCGCCAGCCGGAGUCCUGCUCGCCGUUGUUCGUUCUGAGCUCCGCGUGGUCGCUCCGUUCCCGUCGCCGUCGGCCCCCAGUCAGUACCUGCCGCCGCCGUUGCCGUCGACCGCCGGCCGAACUCACCCAUCGGCCGACCUUCCGCUCAGCAGGAGUUUCCUCAGCUCGCGCUUCACCGUCGGUUGGUCGCGCUGGACCCGCGGUAGCAAGGCGCCGGUUGUCUCUGCCGGCUGCGCCAGCCGCUGUCACUCGUGCCGGUUGCCCAGCACCGUCCCCGCCCUCUCCAAGAACAGCACAAUCAGGCCUUACGCGUCCACUCCGGCGAUCGUCUCGGCUACGCCACUUCACAUCAAUUUUGCAAAUUAACUUCACAGUGGCACUCGAUCACUGAUCACAGAUGAAUCUCUGGUGAUUUCAUUCAUUGGUAUGAGGAGCUAUGCAGGGAUGAUGGGAGCGAUUCAGCAGCCGACGCCUAUCACAACCAACUAGUUGCGGGAGAUGAGGAGGCGCCCGACGAUGUGACGUGAAGCCCCAGACCUGUCCGGAUCCCACACGCACACCGCGUGCAGAGCGCCUCUGUCCAGAUGCUGAGGGCAGGAUAUCUUCUUGCCAAGUUCCAGAUGAUGAGAUCGGUCCUCCUGCCAUCUUGUCGAACCCAUUCUUACUGACAAGCUGGAGGUGAUGAACAGAAGGCCAACAAUAAUGGGACGUGAAUCCCCCAAUCUCUGCUAACCCAAACACCGCAUUUUCUCCAAACCAAAGCUUGGUGCUUUUUUACUUCUCUAGGUGUCAAAUUUGCAAUUUGGAUUUCAGGAAGUAAACUGUAACAAUUUGUUUGGUUAGGUUGGAAAGUUUGGCCUGUUUCACUGAAAAACAUUGCAUUGUUUAAAAUAUAUAUUGUUCACCAUUGAAUAA